RNAcentral lists this ribosomal RNA (1267 nucleotides) under Salmonella enterica. Its description in RNAcentral is "partial 23S ribosomal RNA". It matches the Rfam family "Bacterial large subunit ribosomal RNA", at positions 1554 to 2802 of the family's 2925-position model. Lineage: Bacteria; Pseudomonadati; Pseudomonadota; Gammaproteobacteria; Enterobacterales; Enterobacteriaceae. The record is from RNAcentral.
CACUGAGGCGUGACGACGAGGCACUACGGUGCUGAAGCAACAAAUGCCCUGCUUCCAGGAAAAGCCUCUAAGCAUCAGGUAACAUCAAAUCGUACCCCAAACCGACACAGGUGGUCAGGUAGAGAAUACCAAGGCGCUUGAGAGAACUCGGGUGAAGGAACUAGGCAAAAUGGUGCCGUAACUUCGGGAGAAGGCACGCUGACACGUAGGUGAAGUGAUUUACUCAUGGAGCUGAAGUCAGUCGAAGAUACCAGCUGGCUGCAACUGUUUAUUAAAAACACAGCACUGUGCAAACACGAAAGUGGACGUAUACGGUGUGACGCCUGCCCGGUGCCGGAAGGUUAAUUGAUGGGGUCAGCGCAAGCGAAGCUCCUGAUCGAAGCCCCGGUAAACGGCGGCCGUAACUAUAACGGUCCUAAGGUAGCGAAAUUCCUUGUCGGGUAAGUUCCGACCUGCACGAAUGGCGUAAUGAUGGCCAGGCUGUCUCCACCCGAGACUCAGUGAAAUUGAACUCGCUGUGAAGAUGCAGUGUACCCGCGGCAAGACGGAAAGACCCCGUGAACCUUUACUAUAGCUUGACACUGAACAUUGAGCCUUGAUGUGUAGGAUAGGUGGGAGGCUUUGAAGCGUGGACGCCAGUCUGCGUGGAGCCGACCUUGAAAUACCACCCUUUAAUGUUUGAUGUUCUAACGUGGACCCGUAAUCCGGGUUGCGGACAGUGUCUGGUGGGUAGUUUGACUGGGGCGGUCUCCUCCUAAAGAGUAACGGAGGAGCACGAAGGUUGGCUAAUCCUGGUCGGACAUCAGGAGGUUAGUGCAAUGGCAUAAGCCAGCUUGACUGCGAGCGUGACGGCGCGAGCAGGUGCGAAAGCAGGUCAUAGUGAUCCGGUGGUUCUGAAUGGAAGGGCCAUCGCUCAACGGAUAAAAGGUACUCCGGGGAUAACAGGCUGAUACCGCCCAAGAGUUCAUAUCGACGGCGGUGUUUGGCACCUCGAUGUCGGCUCAUCACAUCCUGGGGCUGAAGUAGGUCCCAAGGGUAUGGCUGUUCGCCAUUUAAAGUGGUACGCGAGCUGGGUUUAGAACGUCGUGAGACAGUUCGGUCCCUAUCUGCCGUGGGCGCUGGAGAACUGAGGGGGGCUGCUCCUAGUACGAGAGGACCGGAGUGGACGCAUCACUGGUGUUCGGGUUGUCAUGCCAAUGGCACUGCCCGGUAGCUAAAUGCGGAAGAGAUAAGUGCUGAAAGCAUCUAAGCACGAAACUUGCCCCGA